This 451-nucleotide ribosomal RNA is filed under the name uncultured bacterium. Its description in RNAcentral is "bacterial SSU rRNA". It matches the Rfam family "Bacterial small subunit ribosomal RNA", at positions 354 to 796 of the family's 1533-position model. The record is from RNAcentral.
GUGAGGAAUCUUGCGCAAUGGGGGAAACCCUGACGCAGCAACGCCGCGUGAGUGAUGAAGGCCUUCGGGUCGUAAAGCUCUGUCAGAUGGGAAGAAAGUUUCGGCGGUGAACAAUCGCCGGGAUUGACGGUACCGUCAGAGGAAGCACCGGCUAACUCCGUGCCAGCAGCCGCGGUAAUACGGAGGGUGCAAGCGUUGUUCGGAAUCAUUGGGCGUAAAGAGCGUGUAGGCGGUCGGGUAAGUCAGAUGUGAAAUCCCUUGGCUUAACCAAGGAAGGGCAUUUGAAACUGCCCGGCUUGAGUACGGGAGGGGGAAGUGGAAUUCCCGGUGUAGAGGUGAAAUUCGUAGAUAUCGGGAGGAACACCGGUGGCGAAGGCGGCUUCCUGGACCGAUACUGACGCUGAGACGCGAAAGCGUGGGGAGCAAACAGGAUUAGAUACCCGGGUAGUCC